UUAAAAAAGAAAAAAAAAACUCCACAAAAUCCACAGGCUCCAGCGCUCUGCUCUCUCCACACGGCAGUCUCCACCUGUGUGGGCCCGCUCUUCAGCGACGUGGCCUCGAACGACCCGAGCCGCCGUCGAGGCGCAUCACAAGCCGCCGCCGCCGCCGGUUCUUGUUCUUCACCGACUCGUACUCGGCAGAGGCAGGCUGUCCGCCGCCCAAUAAGAGUAAACUGCCGCUGGCCCUCGUGGACAACACCGAACGGGACGCGCGCGCAGCAAGGGGAGAGGGAGACUAGAGAGGCCUGUGCGCCGAUCUGUUUGAAUUACCGGCGGCCGCGCAGCCUGGCUAGCCUUAUAGCAGAUUCCGGCACAGUCCAUCCAGCGGCGGCAAGGGCAGACAAUGGAGGAGGGAUCAACCACCACAGCACCAAAAAUAAAAGACUCGACCUGCCCAGAAACAGAUGGCAUUCAAGAUGCCGAAAGGAGAGGAUCAGAACUGAUAUUACCAGAGGAUAUACUUUAUUACAUACAUGCUCUCAUGUCAACGAGGGAUGCUGCCCGUGCUGCUGUUGUAUCCCGUGGAUUUCGUAAUUCUUGGAAGUUCUACCCCAGGCUUAUGUUUGAUACCGAGACACUAGGCAUAAAUGAAGACGGCUGUAACAAUAACAAAGUAACAUGUGAUCCCAUUAGUAUAGUUGACCACAUUAUGCAGAACCAUUAAGGCAUUGGGGUGAAAACAUUUAGGCUUCGCAUCGAGCCAUGUGUCAAUGUUCAUCCAGUUAUGUUGACCACUGGCUUCAAGGUGCCAUAACGCCUGGGAUUGAAGAUUUUGAACUGCAGAUGCCCUGGCCCAACAAGAUCUCUUACAAUUUCCCAUCUUCACUUUUAUCUACUGAGAGGGGAAGCUCGAUGCAGUCAUUUGCACUCUCUGACUGUGCUUUCCAUUCUGCAGCUGGAGUUGGUUUCUUGAGUAACCUGACGAAGGUGGCACUGAGUUCAGUCCCCAUUACUGGGGAGGAAUUAUGUGGGUUUAUCUCCAAUUCUUUGGCACUGGAGCGAUUGGACCUGUUAAACUGCCAUGAUAUAGUUCAUCUGAAGAUACCUUGCCUUUUGUCACAGCUUAAUUUCCUACAAGUGGAAGAUUGUGUUAUGCUGGAGAUCACUGAAAGCAGUGCUCCAAAUCUGUCUCAGUUCAGCUAUCUAGGCCGCCCGACGAUACAUAUCUCACUUGGAGAUCCUCCAAUAAAGCUGAGGCAUAUACAUAUGUCGAGUUUCGAUGACUCUAACAUGCUUUAUUCUGCCAGUACCAAGCUUCCAUCCAUGGCACCGAAUUUGCAAACUCUUUUUCUGACAUCCACUUAUGAGAUUGUUAAUACACCUAUGGUGCAUGGAAAGUAAAUCCAUCUCAAGUACCUGGAGAUAUUACUAUUCAAACCAAGCUUUUCCCCGGACUAUGACUUCUGUUCCCUAGACUCUUUCCUUCAUGGUUCACCUGCCCUGGAGACUUUUACCUUGCGUAUAGCGCUGCCAGCCAUAAGGCACGAUUCAAUUCUUGGAUGUUCUGAUAGCAAUUCAGUGCAGCCAAGGCGUGUUUCAGAACAUAGCCAUGACAGCUUGAAAAAUGUGAUGAUCACUGGCUUUUGCUCUGCAAAGAGCAUGAUUGAGCUUACAAAACAUAUUCUUGAGAGGGCACAUUCACUUGAGCGCAUGACAUUAGACACUAGCCGUGGCCACGAUGACAAGUUGGGGAAUUGUGCACAAAUGUUGGAGGAGGGUCUCCUUGAAGCCCAAAGAGCUCGCUUGGCUAUUGGACGACAUCUAGAGGAGCAUGUUCCCUCGACUGUUCGCCUGAAGGUUGUCGAGCCCUGCAGCAUGUGCGUACACUAAUUAGCUUUAGGUGUUUCCUCAAGUUUUUUUGGGCAUAAUUUAUGCAGUAUUCAGUUAUGUAAUGUACAUUUGGACUCCUUUUUUUUGUUGCUUCAUCAUUGCGAUGACUUGUCAUUUAAAGAAAAUUUUCCACUGAUCCCUUUUGGUCUAACAUCUACUGUAACUUUGUAA
Panicum virgatum (switchgrass) is the source of this 2049-nucleotide long non-coding RNA. RefSeq lists it as uncharacterized. The transcript has 5 exons. NCBI's taxonomy places the organism in Eukaryota, Viridiplantae, Streptophyta, Magnoliopsida, Poales, Poaceae. The record is from RefSeq and is a predicted model, not a curated record.